Molecule: ribosomal RNA, 457 nt
Filed under: uncultured archaeon
Lineage: Archaea
Description: bacterial SSU rRNA
Rfam family: Archaeal small subunit ribosomal RNA
Source: RNAcentral
GCGAGUCUAGGGCUCCAGGCUACGGUGGGGCCCGGCACACGGCUGAGUAACACGUAGCUAACCUACCCUCAGGAAGGGGAUAACCCCGGGAAACUGGGGUUAAACCCCUAUAGGCGAGGACUCCUGGAACCGGGUCUUCGCUGAAAGGGCUUCUAGACCAUGCCUCUAGAAGCCGCCUGAGGAUGGGGCUGCGGCCCAUCAGGUAGUUGGCGGGGUAACGGCCCGCCAAGCCUAUAACGGGUAGGGGCCGUGAGAGCGGGAGCCUCCAGAUGGGCCCUGAGACAAGGGCCCAGGCCCUACGGGGCACAGCAGGCGCGAAAACUCCGCUAUGCGCGAAAGCGCGACGGGGUUACCUCGAGUGCCUCCCGCUGAGGGGAGCUUUUCCCCAGCGUAAACAGCUGGGGGAAUAAAGGGAGGGCAAGCCUGGUGUCAGCCGCCGCGGUAAUACCGGCUCCCG